CUGGCGGCGUGCCUUAAUCAUGCAAUUCUUAGCGGACAGAAGGGAGCUUGCUCCCGGAUGUUAGCGGCGGACGGGUGAGUAACACGUGGGUAACCUGCCUGUAAGACUGGGAUAACUCCGGGAAACCGGAGCUAAUACCGGAUAGUUCCUUGAACCGCAUGGUUCAAGGAUGAAAGACGGUUUCGGCUGUCACUUACAGAUGGACCCGCGGCGCAUUAGCUAGUUGGUGGGGUAAUGGCUCACCAAGGCGACGAUGCGUAGCCGACCUGAGAGGGUGAUCGGCCACACUGGGACUGAGACACGGCCCAGACUCCUACGGGAGGCAGCAGUAGGGAAUCUUCCGCAAUGGACGAAAGUCUGACGGAGCAACGCCGCGUGAGUGAUGAAGGUUUUCGGAUCGUAAAGCUCUGUUGUUAGGGAAGAACAAGUGCGAGAGUAACUGCUCGCACCUUGACGGUACCUAACCAGAAAGCCACGGCUAACUACGUGCCAGCAGCCGCGGUAAUACGUAGGUGGCAAGCGUUGUCCGGAAUUAUUGGGCGUAAAGGGCUCGCAGGCGGUUUCUUAAGUCUGAUGUGAAAGCCCCCGGCUCAACCGGGGAGGGUCAUUGGAAAACUGGGAAACUUGAGUGCAGAAAAAGGAGAGUGGAAUUCCACGUGUAGCGGUUGAAAAUGCCUUAAAAAUGUGGAGGAACACCCAUUGGCC
RNAcentral lists this ribosomal RNA (705 nucleotides) under Bacillus sp. Bac31W1. RNAcentral describes it as "bacterial SSU rRNA". It matches the Rfam family "Bacterial small subunit ribosomal RNA", at positions 36 to 718 of the family's 1533-position model. The record is from RNAcentral. Lineage: Bacteria; Bacillati; Bacillota; Bacilli; Caryophanales; Bacillaceae.